GCAGCGCCCUCACCGGGAGGCAUAGAAAGACUUCUUGUCAAUAUGGCCGAGAACCAAAUAGACGAUAUUGCUGAUGUAUUUGAGGAAAUCAUGGGAGACGACUUUGAUGAACCAGCCAUAUCUGCGAAGAAUGCUGGUGACCACAUAGUACAUGUAAAUGUUGCAUUGGUAGAACGAGUCAUGGGUGGAAUCAAAAGUGAUGCUCUUUUACCUGACCAUUUUAGAACACUACUUGAUUCUACAACGGAUACCUGAACUGGUGUAUAGUAGGGUUGUCGUGCCUAGCCCCAAGUCCUCUGUGCCUCCCAAAAUGUUCCUCAAGGGGGUCUUGACAAAAUACUUGACUUAACAAGUAUGGAACACCUUGUUGAAGCAAAUACUUGGUGGCAUCAAUAAAGGAAUUGACUGCAAAUAGUUAAACAUAUAUUGAGGUCUUCAUCGUAGAAAAGAUCGAGCAGCUUAAUGGUGACUGUUUUGUUCUGGUUUGAAUUGUUCAGUAAUGAAAAUGUCUUACCAGUCAUCACUAUUCCUUCAUGCGUCUGGGUCGAGAGGAACAUUUUAUUUUUUUCCUGUUUGGAAAAACCUUGUCUAGUCAUGACAGCUUGCUUCCAUUCUUCAAGAUACCCCAAAAACACCGUCUUUAAAAACUGGAAAAGAUUUUAUACAGUUUUACAUAAACCAGAUGACUGUGGAAUGAAGACAAAAGGAACAUAAAAGGGAUGCCCUGCACUAUUUCACCUCAAAUCUAGGGUCAUCAGGCAAGGUGUAUGCAGCUAGGUCAGAUUUCCUUGUGCGAGUGGCCUCAUGCAGGGAACGUCCAUUAAGACAAUCAAAAAAUCUGUCCACUAACAUGAAGAACUUGGAUGUUUCACUCAUCUCUGGGCCAUAAUAGGCAGACAUUACAGAGGACACUGUGUGGCUUAAAACCUGUAGUAGAUAGAUCAUUUUGUGGAAGACUUGUAAACAAUAUAGGCUAGAAAUGAUUUGUACAGUAAAUGGUAAAGUGUUCCUGUGCUGCCAGACGAACAUUCAUGGUGGAUGAAGGAGUGAGGUAUAUGUGGUCAAAUCUGAGCUUUGUCCUGUAAAGUUGUCCCUGCAUAUCAUCAUUGUAUACUUUCUCAACAUGUGACCACAGGAUGUUAGUGUUUUUCUAAUUUCAAAAUGAAAGAAUAAUAGCUUUCAGUAAUAACCAUAAGUAAUGACAAUUACCUUUCUCAUGAUCUCUCCAGGGCUAAAAGUUACGGUAAUCAACAGAUUUUUUUUAAUUUUUUUUGCUUCUAAGUACAUGUACUCACCCAAAGAUACCUAGUCCCACCUGUGUGUGACUUGUAUACAUUGUUUCUGAUCGUCUUGAUCAGAUGUGGGACGUCUGAGAAGAAAUAAACAAAUCUCUUCUCCAUGGCAUAUGGGUUGUCAGCUCUAUAAACGACCUCUUCAUUCCCAGUCCUAUGGAGCCUGUAAAGUCUUUGAUUUGGAGAUGCCUUGUCGCUUGUCGAUGAAAUGACCUAUAUACAUUAAGUCUGAUUAAGUGUGGAUCCACUUUUAUGAAAACUGGCAGUUCACCUUCAAACCACUGGUAAUCUCCAGAUAAGCUAUUGCUUUCCACAGUAAGGGAUAAAGCUCAUCAGCAGUGGAAGAUCUGGUUGGGAAGUGCCCAAUACUCAUUUUGAUGUGGGAAUUGAUGCCUACCACCAUAAACACUAAGACUUGAGUGGCAAUUCUCUUUGUUUCAUCCUACAUUUCAGAAGAAAGAGAGAAUUUUAUUCAACCUCAUUAAAAGACCAAGUGUCCGGAUUGGUGAAUCCAACAACUUGAUUGCUCCUUCUAUCGUAAACAAGGUCUGCCUUAACUUUCAUCUCGUCAUGCAGCAAACAAACAAACUUUUUUUCUGAUGCCUGAAAACCAGAAUGUGGCUGGAUGAAGUUUGUGUAGUCCCGAAGUGUAGCCUGGUUUGGAAGUUUCAGAACACCACUUUCUCUGAGAGACUCAUAGGCCUUUGGACUUUGGCACCGAAGAAAUAUGGCAAACCUUAUCAUCAUUGGAUGCCAUCUCAUACCUGAUUUGUGGUAUUAGAAAAGGUCCAUCAAACUAUUUUCUGCUGGUUUGUGGUUUUGCAGUGUAGCAAAUAGCCCCUCUCCAACGUCCUCAGCAACAGCAGCUGUCUCACCUUUCAUGGUGAUCAAAGUAUAUUACCUUUACUCAAAGAAUCUACAAGACUCUGAAGUCUCCGGUUUUCUUCCCUUAUGACCUUGACCUGCUUUAUAAGGGCUGUUUGAGGUAGAUGUUUAAGGGGAGUCUUAGGAUGAAGUGCAUGAGGAGAUGAGUUGGAGAUAAGUGAGUUGUGAAGCUUGGAACAUGCAUCACACAUCGUUAAACUCUGAACACCACCUAAACAGCCAUUGGCACGUAUAACACUACUGUUGACUGGUUUCCCAUCAACAAUGCGACUGAAGAAGAAGCGGUAUCCCUGUGAACUUUUAAGGGUGAAAUCCGAGCUAUCUUUCACUCCAGGGCAUUUGCAAAGAUUUUCCAGGCCGUCCAAAAAUUUGUUGAUUGGAAUUUUCUCCACAGAUUUUUCAACACCGACGACUGUAACUUCUAAGUAGAGAAAUAUAUUAUACAUAUAUAUGUGAUGCAUUUUUAACAUUUCAACAUGCAUAUAAACUUAAAAUAUAAAAGCCCUGAUACCUGAAUUUGUGUUAUAGAAUGUAUGACCAUGAAUUCCAAGACAGGGGGAAAACCAGUACCUCCAAAACGAACACUGACAUCCAAAUUGUCAUGAAUUGUGACCAGUUUUUCCAUGGACCCAGAGGAUUGGUCAAAUUUUCCGAACACCAGGUCAUCCUUGACUUUUACCCAGUCCUGUUUAUGAUUUCUUUCAAAAUCUCUCCUUACCUCUGCAAGAGAGUAAUAAACUACUCUCUCUGGAAGUGAAGGCAAUGGCCGUUUUGUCUGAAAAUAAUUGUUUUAAAAUUACUGUUGUCUCAUUGUUAUGUCAGCACAUGUCAUUUUAUAAAUGUUUGCAUUUUAUUAAAUAUACUUUAAUAUUGUUUAAAUUUACACACAACCAUAAAAAAGAAGGGACUUUUAGAAUUUAUAUAUUUCUUAAGAGUGUUACUGGACUUGGUCUUGGUGGAGGAUGUGGUGUUUCCACACUCUUUUUUGGCAUGUUCAAGGUUGGCAUGCUUCCUGGGAUAAGUUUGUAGCCAUUACCUGCAAAUUCACAAUUUUUUUUUGUUCAAAUUUUUGUUAGUUAUAAAUACAUGGAUAUUAGGAAAAUUUAGUUUUAAAAAGCUCCGAUAUAUACAUUCAAAAAGUUCAAAAGUUUUUCAAAUCAACAUUUAGAAGUUUCUUUUAUUGAAAGCUGAAAAAUUCCUUUGUCAAGGACCCUCUACAAUUUUUUUUUAACAUAAAAAUAAAGAAAUUGUGUAUGUAGGUGUAAAUUUUGGCUUUCAUUAGAUCUGCAUUGUUUUGGACUAGAAUGUCAGCUGUUUAUCCCAAGGAAAAAAAAGAUAUGUCGAAGUGAUUUGGAAGUCCAAAUCACAUAUUCUUUAAGUAUUUAACCUUCGAUAUCUCAAAUCCCUGGUUAUCUGGAAGUUUUUUCUCAGUCCCAUCAGGUUCGAGAUAACGAAGUUUGACUGUAUCUUAAUUCUGACCUGAUGAAAUGUCAAGUUGAUUUCAAAUUGAGUAUUAAUGUGUUGUAUUUUUUUAAAAUUUGUUUUAUUUAGUAAAGCCAUUUCAAGUUUUUCUUCUCUGUUUAG
Long non-coding RNA from Saccostrea cuccullata (small rock oyster), 3761 nucleotides. RefSeq lists it as uncharacterized. The record is from RefSeq and is a predicted model, not a curated record. The transcript has 8 exons. Lineage: Eukaryota; Metazoa; Mollusca; Bivalvia; Ostreida; Ostreidae.